This 459-nucleotide long non-coding RNA is filed under the name Elaeis guineensis (African oil palm). Its description in RNAcentral is "long non-coding RNA (EGUI_LNC051843)". The record is from RNAcentral. Lineage: Eukaryota; Viridiplantae; Streptophyta; Magnoliopsida; Arecales; Arecaceae.
AAGGCGCCACAUCUACUUGACUUUUGAAGCAAGGGCCUUUCCAAUUAAAUCUGAUUUUCUUAGGAAGAAAAUCAUAUUAAAAGAUAAGAGACCUUAUGAGAUAAGAUCUAAUCUUUUUAGCAUGAUUGGAUAAUGAUUUGGAAUCAAAAAAGACCUAUUUAAGGAGAUGGUCUCCUAAGAUUUUAUUAUUAUUGAAUUCUUCCUCUCUUUCUCCACACCUCCCAUCUUCUCUCUCUUUCUAAUGCCUAAGGUUGGGCAUCCAUCAUCCCACAUGCCUGAGUUGAGAGGAGUCUCUUCUACAGCAAAAAACAAGGAGAAAAGGCUACAGUUCAAUAGUUGUGAUUGCAGUCAAGAUCAACAGUUGAUCAAGGUUCAAAGAGACUAAGAUCCUACUUAGAGAAGAAGGAUCUACCAUGAAAAAAAAUUUAAGGUUGAUCUCGGUGGAUACCUGUAGAGGCU